AAGUCGUAACAAGGUUUCCGUAGGUGAACCUGCGGAAGGAUCAUUAAUGAAUUUACUUGGGGGUUGAUGCUGGCUUUGCUGCAUGUGCUCGCCCUCAUAAUUCUUAUCCCAUACACCUGUGCACAUCUUGAAGGUUCGAGGAAUGCCUUUUAUGGGUUGAUCUCGCCUUCAUUCUUACAAACUCUAUCUCUAAUAAUCGAACGUGAUUGUGCCGAAAGGCCAUAAACUUAUACAACUUUUAACAACGGAUCUCUUGGCUCUC
RNAcentral lists this unclassified non-coding RNA (262 nucleotides) under Clavulinaceae sp. RNAcentral's name for it is "partial contains small subunit ribosomal RNA, internal transcribed spacer 1, and 5.8S ribosomal RNA". The stretch from base 1 to 46 matches the Rfam family "Eukaryotic small subunit ribosomal RNA", at positions 1786 to 1831 of the family's 1831-position model. The record is from RNAcentral. Lineage: Eukaryota; Fungi; Basidiomycota; Agaricomycetes; Cantharellales; Hydnaceae.